This 388-nucleotide small RNA is filed under the name Drosophila ananassae. RNAcentral describes it as "GF26338". The record is from RNAcentral. Lineage: Eukaryota; Metazoa; Arthropoda; Insecta; Diptera; Drosophilidae.
ACAGAAAACAAAAAAAUAUAAUAUAAAAAAUGGGUGAAAGGGUUGCCAUCGCGUGGGCGAUAUUUUUCUAAGUGCGGGAAUCGAUAGUAGCUUUAAAGUAUGGCAACUCCCCCACCCUAUUUAUUCUAGUGCAUUUAGUUGAAUUGAACGUGUUGAAUUGCAUUUUAACAAAAGAAAUCUACUAAUAAUACUAAUUAUAAUUAGUGGGUAGAAUUACUAGAAUAAAGAAGAAAUUGUCGCAUUGUUUUUAUCGCAUUGUUUUGAUGUUUAUAAUCAACAAGGAGUGAUUUUUCCACCUACGACGACUUCAUUAGGGCCAUCCGGGAUGGAAUAAGGAGAGCCAAAAAUAAAAAUUAUAAGGAAAAAUCCAAAAAAAACAAAGAAAAUU